This 301-nucleotide ribosomal RNA is filed under the name uncultured bacterium. RNAcentral describes it as "partial 16S ribosomal RNA". It matches the Rfam family "Bacterial small subunit ribosomal RNA", at positions 509 to 807 of the family's 1533-position model. The record is from RNAcentral.
CAGCAGCCACGGUAAUACGAAGGGUGCAAGCGUUAAUCGGAAUUACUGGGCGUAAAGCGUGCGUAGGCGGUGAGUUAAGUCUGCUGUGAAAUCCCCGGGCUCAACCUGGGAAUGGCAGUGGAUACUGGCUCGCUAGAGUGUGUCAGAGGAUGGUGGAAUUCACAGUGUAGAGGUGAAAUUCGUAGAUAUUGGGAAGAACACCAGUGGCGAAGGCGGCUCACUGAACCGACACUGACGCUGAGGCGCGAAAGCGUGGGGAGCAAACAGGAUUAGAUACCCCAGUAGUCCCUGUCUCUUAUAC